GACAUGUCGGUGUUGUGUGGAGAUUCAGAGAUGGGACAAUACGGGGGGGUCUUCAUACCUGUGUCCCAAGGCAGCCUACCAUCAUGUGGGAUGACGUUAUCAACGCUGUCGUCUGCUUGGUUAUCUGGGAGAUGGAUUGUUGAGACCGCUGCUCCACGGGCCAAACCAAACGGGAGAAAUCUGCUUCCUAUUACAGGCUGUUCAGCCAAGAGUCCCACUCCGGUCCUCCUCCGGAAUGUUCUUUCUAACACACUUCUGAGGGGCGGGAAUGUUUGGGAACUUGGAGCAGAACAAACUGAACCCUCACAGACAUCACAGAGCAGUCUAGGCCAGCCCAGAGAGGGAUUGAGGGAGGCCAAUUCAUCUAUAUCCAAAGAAAGAGGUCAUGGCUGGAUAGAACCUGAUCCCUGAACUCUGACCUCCCUGCUAGAGGCUGACCUGAAGAGUGAGGUUCACACCUACAGAGCAGACUUGAGAAGAAGGGGGAGGACCCUUUAACUCACCUAAGUGAUUGUGUCCUACAGUCAUUUCACUCACACACCACAUUAUUACAUGGGUUCAAGUUCAGAUGCAACAGAAAUUAAGAGAAUAUAUGUUUUGGGGAAUUAAUAAAAAACAUAGAAUGUG
This is a long non-coding RNA of Salvelinus fontinalis (brook trout), 627 nucleotides long. RefSeq lists it as uncharacterized. Lineage: Eukaryota; Metazoa; Chordata; Actinopteri; Salmoniformes; Salmonidae. The record is from RefSeq and is a predicted model, not a curated record. The transcript is spliced from 2 exons.